This 253-nucleotide ribosomal RNA is filed under the name uncultured bacterium. Its description in RNAcentral is "partial 16S ribosomal RNA". It matches the Rfam family "Bacterial small subunit ribosomal RNA", at positions 524 to 776 of the family's 1533-position model. The record is from RNAcentral.
AACGUAGGACGCAAGCGUUAUCCGGAGUUACUGGGCGUAAAGCGCGGGCAGGCGGUUACUCAAGUCUGAUGUGAAAGCGCUUGGCUCAACCAAGCGAUGCCAUUGGAAACUGGGCAACUGGAGUCUGGCAGAGGUAGGCGGAAUUCCGGGUGGAGUGGUGAAAUGCGUAGAUAUGCGGAGGAACACCGAUGGCGAAGGCAAUCCCCUGGGCUGACACUGACGCUCAUGCACGAAAGCGUGGGGAGCAAACAGG